Molecule: transfer RNA, 72 nt
Filed under: Sphaerodactylus townsendi
Lineage: Eukaryota; Metazoa; Chordata; Lepidosauria; Squamata; Sphaerodactylidae
Description: tRNA-Ala
Rfam family: tRNA
About the family: Transfer RNA (tRNA) molecules are approximately 80 nucleotides in length. Their secondary structure includes four short double-helical elements and three loops (D, anti-codon, and T loops).
Source: RNAcentral
GGGGCUGUGACUCAGUGGAAGAGGCUCUGUUUUGCAUUCAGAAGGUCCCAGAUUCAAUCCCUGGCAUCUCCA